GACGAACGCUGGCGGGGGGAGGAAAAAAGGCAAGUCGAACGGAAAGGCCCUGCUUUUGUGGGGUGCUCGAGUGGCGAACGGGUGAGUAACACGUGAGUAACCUGCCCUUGACUUUGGGAUAACUUCAGGAAACUGGGGCUAAUACCGGAUAGGAGCUCCUGCUGCAUGGUGGGGGUUGGAAAGUUUCGGCGGUUGGGGAUGGACUCGCGGCUUAUCAGCUUGUUGGUGGGGUAGUGGCUUACCAAGGCUUUGAAGGGGAGCCGGCCUGAGAGGGUGACCGGCCACAUUGGGACUGAGAUACGGCCCAGACUCCUACGGGAGGCAGCAGUGGGGAAUAUUGCACAAUGGGCGGAAGCCUGAUGCAGCAACGCCGCGUGCGGGAUCCCGGCCUUCGGGUUGUAAACCGCUUUCGCCUGUGACGAAGCGUGAGUGACGGUAAUGGGUAAAGAAGCACCGGCUCCCUACGUC
RNAcentral lists this ribosomal RNA (468 nucleotides) under uncultured bacterium. Its description in RNAcentral is "partial 16S ribosomal RNA". It matches the Rfam family "Bacterial small subunit ribosomal RNA", at positions 28 to 507 of the family's 1533-position model. The record is from RNAcentral.